CUCAUGGAUGGUGAAAUUCUGUUUGUUUACUUUAUUUCCAUUUUAUGACUAAAGGGACCAGGCACCAGGUAGAGAAGGUCGGAUGAUUGACAGCUGCCACAGAAUAAAAAUCUAAAUAGAGUAUGCAACUUACAGUACACCAAAUCUGUACAGUUCAUUCGGUACCCUAGAGCCUUAAGGUUCAGUUCACAGUUCACACACACAGGAUAAGAAAAGAGCCGGGGUGAUGAUGGCUAUGGCACAGGGCACAAGUAUUAGUUAUCAGCAAAUUUCCUGGCAUUUUGACGUUUGAGAAAAUUUGAAAAGUCAAAUUUAAUGUUAAGCCCGCUUUACAGUGAAUUUUCAAAAAGUAUCAAAAAUUUGAUGUCCCAUCUCUUUGUCCAGAAUGUUUGAAUUUAUAAUCAGAGUCUCGGGACUUUCUCUGGGUAGUUGGUGCUCUUGAUGCAAAUCUGACAGAAAUUAAUUUGAGGUUAAAGUCUAAAUAACGAAUCAACACACAUUAUAUUGUAUAAAUUACAAUAAAUGCUCAAAAUGCCCUGCUUUCAUUUCGAAGCAUUUUAAACACGUUAUGGAUUUCGUACGACGCAACAAAACUUUGAAAUAUUUGGCGAAAAUCUUCCACACGUGGUGUUAUUGAGCAUUUCCACUCGCAUGCACGUUUACCUAAGGUAGCUGUAAAGAAAUCAUUUAUUUCCAACAUUGGAAGUUUCACACUUCAGUUUUGUCAAUUAUACAGACUGUUCGCGGAUUGCGAGCAAAUAUUUUAACCACUAAGAUAAUUUGUUAUGAAAAGUCGAAUUGAAGACCAAAUAAAUUUCGUAUCCAAAUUUUUUUGUAACUUCCCCCCAUGAUUUUCACAAGCCGUUCAGUGUGCCUGUCCUUGUUAGUUGGAAGUAAAAAUAUCAAUGAAAAUAAUUUGCAUUGAAUGUUGAGCGUGAAAAAAAAGGAACUUUUUGCCAAAAAAAAUUAUCAGUUGUUUACAUGCGUGAGUUUAGUCAGUUGUUAAAAUUGGCUGUAAAACUGACAAAACUGCCAAUUUUAACUUGUUUUAAUGUGUUGUGUUUUAGACUUUAGCCUUUUACAAUUUAUUGUUAUUUUUAUAUUAUUUAUUGACAGGUUUAAUUGUUGGCGAGGGAAGUGUGAUGUUACUGGGAAUUUUUGUUGGUGGUUGAGUUUUUCAAAAACAUCCGUCUUGCGCAUAACAGCUGGCCAGUCUCAGUUCUUCCUUGACUUGUGCCAUGCUUCACACGCUCAACCAACGAGAAUGCUUCGGCUGAAGAAGAUACAAUAAAAGUUUCGAAACGUCGCGACGAA
Long non-coding RNA from Tribolium madens (black flour beetle), 1314 nucleotides. RefSeq lists it as uncharacterized. The transcript is spliced from 2 exons. NCBI's taxonomy places the organism in Eukaryota, Metazoa, Arthropoda, Insecta, Coleoptera, Tenebrionidae. The record is from RefSeq and is a predicted model, not a curated record.